GAUGAACGCUGGCGGCGUGCCUAAUACAUGCAAGUCGAGCGAACGGACGAGAAGCUUGCCUCUCUGAUGUUAGCGGCGGACGGGUGAGUAACACGUGGAUAACCUACCUAUAAGACUGGGAUAACUUCGGGAAACCGGAGCUAAUACCGGAUAAUAUUUUGAACCUCAUGGUUCAAAAGUGAAAGACGGUCUUGCUGUCACUUAUAGAUGGAUCCGCGCUGCAUUAGCUAGUUGGUAAGGUAACGGCUUACCAAGGCAACGAUGCAUAGCCGACCUGAGAGGGUGAUCGGCCACACUGGAACUGAGACACGGUCCAGACUCCUACGGGAGGCAGCAGUAGGGAAUCUUCCGCAAUGGGCGAAAGCCUGACGGAGCAACGCCGCGUGAGUGAUGAAGGUCUUCGGAUCGUAAAACUCUGUUAUUAGGGAAGAACAUAUGUGUAAGUAACUGUGCACAUCUUGACGGUACCUAAUCAGAAAGCCACGGCUAACUACGUG
RNAcentral lists this ribosomal RNA (497 nucleotides) under uncultured bacterium. Its description in RNAcentral is "partial 16S ribosomal RNA". It matches the Rfam family "Bacterial small subunit ribosomal RNA", at positions 28 to 507 of the family's 1533-position model. The record is from RNAcentral.